Long non-coding RNA from Harpia harpyja (harpy eagle), 1425 nucleotides. RefSeq lists it as uncharacterized. The transcript is spliced from 4 exons. The record is from RefSeq and is a predicted model, not a curated record. Lineage: Eukaryota; Metazoa; Chordata; Aves; Accipitriformes; Accipitridae.
UCUUUGAGUGCUGGAAGGAGAGGAAGUGAAUUCAUCUUCCCCUACAAAUUCAUCCGCAUUUUGCUAUUGACAGAUUCUUCUCAGAAACACGAACAUGAAACAAGGAAAGUCCAGUAUUUGAAGUCACCAACAAUCCGUACCACAAAUAAUGCUCUCAAGCAAUAUGGAGAAAGUAAAUAGCAACCACAGUGGCAGCCCAAGGCCUUCUGCAUCUCACCUGCUAGACAGGCUGCUCCUCUGCCCAGGACCUGUGUUAAGGUCCUGACUCUGCUGAAGGCUUAUUUUGGGAUGAUGGGAACAGCCCCAAUAGUCUGAAAAGGACCCAGACAGGGAGAGAUAACUGAAAAAAUGAUGAGCUUCUUGCUAGGAGUGUCUCUGUUGUGAUAGUUCUUCAGCAGUACAAGUCGACAACCACUGGGGCACUGGAUGCUCUCAAAACACGCUCUGAUGGAAGACCUGAAAGUGCAUGCUGAAGGCAGAAUGUUUUAUUGCACCUGUUUUAUGGAUGGGUGUAGAAAACCCAAAUGAUUUUCCCUAGGAAGCAAACCAAGCCCACAGGAGAGCUGCAAGCUGCAGGCAUUGCGGCAUAUUCAAGAAAGACCUAUUGAUGUCUUUUUGGUGGUCAGUCCAUAUGCACUCUAUAUGGCCUUUCAUAGCCUCUUUUCUUCUAAGUCUGUUCACUGUCAGCCACAAAUCUGUGCAGGGCACUACCUUGUCUUAAGAGGUGCUGGUGGUCUGCUGGUCAGACCUACUGGGAGAAGAUUUGAAUUCCAGACCAGCUGUGGUUCUGGUGGGACAGAGGAGGAUUGUGCUGUGCACAGCUGCCUUUCUGCCAUGGGGCCCAGACUCUGCACUGCACGUGGUACACAUCUGGUAAAACCACAUGUUGGAGGAGAAAACAGCAGCCAUAUGGGCUGCACGCGAGGACCAGUUUUAGCCCCCCAUGAGCCACUGUUUUCUGCUUGCUUGUCAUAGCCUGACCUCCAUUUGCCUUUCUCACACAGCUACAUGAAUCCUCCCAGCUCCCCACACCGUGUCCCCCAGAGCCAGGGCAUUGCACUGGUGUUGGGAGUGCUUCCAGCACCACAGUGGAACAAGAAAUGGGCAGGAGAUGAGGCAACAGGCAGCUGAAGCCUUUCCUGGUUGAAGUCCUCAUGGUGUCCUGCAGCACCCACAAGGUGAGCUGCACCCAGGUCGUGGUGGUGUACAUAGUGGGGCCAAAAUGAAGCAGGUCUUCCCCUUAACUUCUCAUUUCUGUGCAUCUUGUGGCUUUUGGCUUAUGGCAUGGUUUUUCUAUCCAUACAUUAUAUGUUUAUGUUAUUGGUUUGGGUUUCUCUUAUCCAAAUAGUGAUGAUUUGUAAAAGACCUGCAAAUUAGAGGUGCUGAGUAACAGGAGGUCCCCACCACAGCACGCAUCCAUCAGAU